GAUGAAGAACGUAGCGAAAUGCGAUAAGUAGUGUGAAUUGCAGAAUUCAGUGAAUCAUCGAAUCUUUGAACGCACAUUGCGCCCCUUGGAAUCCCGAGGGGCAUGCCUGUUCGAGCGUCAUUUCACCACUCAAGCCUGGCUUGGUGUUGGGCGACGUCCUCUUUGGGGACGCGCCUCGAAACGCUCGGCGGCGUGGCACCGGCUUUAAGCGUAGCAGAAUCUUUCGCUUUGGAAGUCGGGGCCCCGUCUGCCGGAAGACCUGCUCGCAAGGUUGACCUCGGAUCAGGCAGGGAUACCCGCUGAACUUAAGCAUAUCAAUAAGCGGAGGA
RNAcentral lists this unclassified non-coding RNA (329 nucleotides) under soil metagenome. RNAcentral's name for it is "partial contains 5.8S ribosomal RNA, internal transcribed spacer 2, and large subunit ribosomal RNA". The stretch from base 1 to 120 matches the Rfam family "5.8S ribosomal RNA", at positions 35 to 154 of the family's 154-position model. The record is from RNAcentral.